ACUCAAAUGAAUAGACGGGGGCUCACACAAGCGGUGGAGCAUGUGGUUCAAUUCGAAGCAACGCGCAGAACCUUACCUGGGCUUGACAUGCUAGGAUUAUCUCCAUGAAAGUGGAGUAGGCCCUUCGGGGUACAACUAGUACAGGUGCUGCAUGGCUGUCGUCAGCUCGUGUCGUGAGAUGUCGGGUUAAGUCCCUUAACGAGCGAAACCUUUGCCCUUAGUUACUACAGGUAAUGCUGAGGACUCUAAGGGGACUGCCGGUGUCAAACCGGAGGAAGGUGGAGAUGACGUCAAGUCCUCAUGGCCUUUAUGCCCAGGGCCACACACGUGCUACAAUGGCGUCCACAAAGCGAACCGAGAGCGCAAGCUGGUGGAAAUCGCAGAAAUGACGCCCCAGUUCAGAUAGGAGGCUGCAACUCGCCUCCUUGAAGUUGGAAUCGCUAGUAAUCGCGGAUCAGCUACGCCGCGGUGAAUGUGUUCCUGAGCCUUGCACACACCGCCCGU
RNAcentral lists this ribosomal RNA (504 nucleotides) under uncultured bacterium. RNAcentral describes it as "partial 16S ribosomal RNA". It matches the Rfam family "Bacterial small subunit ribosomal RNA", at positions 899 to 1397 of the family's 1533-position model. The record is from RNAcentral.